This is a non-coding RNA of Elaeis guineensis (African oil palm), 4714 nucleotides long. NCBI's taxonomy places the organism in Eukaryota, Viridiplantae, Streptophyta, Magnoliopsida, Arecales, Arecaceae. The record is from RefSeq and is a predicted model, not a curated record.
UUAUAAAGCCAUAUGACUAAAUGUUACUUAAGCAAGAAGCAUAUCUAAUGAAAUUUAGAUGUAAUUCAUGGGACUGUUGGAUCUCUUUCAUCAUCCCACUGUGAUGGUGAGGUUUCAAAGAGUGACGAUCCUCUAACAUCAACACCAAUACGCAAAUCAGAGGGACAAUUUUGACACAUUGAAGCAGGUCUUCAGAGCAGAGCGAGGAACAAAAUUUUUUCAAUGGUAGUGUGACCAACAAGCGAGCGGUUGGUCUGGUAGAGUGGUGUUUUAAGAGAAUUAAAAUAUGUCUGCUGAGUGGUGUGGCAAGGGUACAGGCUACGGAGAGGGCGGGGUGGUUGCGCGCUGCUACAGUUAUGUUCUUCUGUUUGUAGUAACUCCCUAGCUGUACACAGAAAAGAAGGAAAGAAACAGUGGUGUGGAAAUGGGUGGUGGAACAGAGAGCCCUGUGACCACUGUGGAUCCUUUCUCUCUCCGAUUCCUUUUACAAGCCCUAACCUGCCGUCUCUUCCCAUUACAAGGGAGCUUCUUGAGGUUCUCCGAUGGGGUCUGUGGAACUCAACUAGGUUUCGUUUCGAUUGUCGGAUCUGCUGAUAUAUAGAGAAUUGAGGCAUUUUCUUGUUGGAGUAUAAGAUUUGGUGCCGGAAGUUCCAAUCUCUCGUAUGAUUGCUUCAUAUUUAGCCCCCUUGUGCCAAUGGGCAUCAUAAAGAUUAGGCCUCAGGGGCCUGGAAAUGAUGAUUCUGCAGGAAAAGGUUUUCGUACCUUUCCACUCAAUGAGCUCACACAAGAGGAGGGAUUGCUCUCAGAAAAGAACCCUGGUGAUAUUUUUAAUGACUGUGAACUUGCAGAGGUGGGAUGUGAGUUUGUCAUGGUGGAACAUCAGAUAUGCAAUGUCCCUUAUGAUCUUUAUGACUUGCCAGAUUUAAAGGAAAUACUCUCUUUGGAGAUCUGGAAUUCUUGUUUAACGGAAGAGGAAAGAUUUUCUCUAGCAGCUUACCUUCCGGAUAUGGACCAACAGACAUUUUGGAUUACGAUAAAGGAGUUGCUCAAUGGUGAUAAUAUGUUCUUUGGAAGUCCCUUGGAAAAAUUUUUCUUCAGAUUGAAAGGUGGAUUUUAUUCUCCACAAGUUUCUCAUUUAAGGGAAAGUCUGCAGUUCUUGCAAAGGCGGGGCUAUUAUCAUUCUCUAAGAUCAUAUCAUGAGAAUAUGUGUCAGAAGUGUGUGGACAUCAAAAGGGCAUGGGGUAACUGUCACCCAAGCAUGAGCGUUGAGGAAAGGGUUCGCUUUUGGAACAACAGGGAAGAUCGCAAGCCUGUAUUUUUGGUUGAUCUCAAUGCAUUUCCUGCAGAGGAAGAGAUGUUAAACAAGGGUGAAAAAAAUGUGGCAACUAUUCCACAGUUAAAGAAGACCAAGUAUAUGAAUGAAAGGGUAAAUGCUCAUGAUCCAGUGGUUGUUUUUAAUGGCAUAGCAGUAAACAGGAAAACAAACAGAAAAGGAGUUCUGAAAAUAAAACCAAUUGAAAUGAAUGCAUUGCCAAAUCAACCUCUGCUACCAUUGCCAAAUGAGCCAUGGGAGGCAUGUAGGCGGACACCUAAAGGCGUAUUAAAAAUAAAGCCUAAGUGGGAUCCUCUUGGUCGUCAACAGGAACGAUCCAGAAUGAUUCAAAUUCCACCAGAACAAAGUACAGCUGAUCUAUUGGGUGUUCAUAACUCUAGAUUCUCCCCUUCGCAAUUUGCUUUUACAUGGGAUAAACAGACUUUUGAUGAGAAAUUACAAUUUGUACAUCAGACAGGUAGAGAUGGAAAUACCGGCAGAAGUCCUGAGCUUAUAGAAAAUCGACAAAGGGAGGAAUAUCUGAACAGGGGUGCUGGACAGAGAUUACAUAGAAAGAUAAAGAUGGUAAAGGACGUGAGGUCAGACAAUGCUAGAGAGAUAAAUGAAGAAAUUUUUCCAUUGAAAAAUAACCAGAAAUUGAGGAUUUAUUCUCAUGAAGCUGGUGGGAAGCGAAAGCACCACAAUGGAGAGAACCUUUGGCAAAACUCAGGUCAACAAAGCAAGGUAUUUCUUGCAGGUUCUGCAGACUCAUACCGUAUUACUCCUGACAAUCAUCAAGGAAGAAUGCAGAUGACUGCAGUGCAUUCCACACUUUCUGAAGCAGAUUCAGGGGUCCCAAUUGUUCUCACUGACGAGCACCCAGCAUUUACAAAGUCUUCUGAUCAUUCAAAACAUAAGCUUAGAGAUAACAAUGAUGGAGUAUUGAAAAUGCCAAAUGCCCAAAUGGCUAGUUCUGGGGUUGAAAGAGAAGGUCUUAUGUUUCCUAUAACAUAUAAGCGGAAAAAAGCAUACGCAAAGCUCAACUCAGUCACCUCUCUUAAGCAGCCACCCACAGUAGCUGAUGUGGAAUCAGUAGUGCCGAGCGGAACAGUAGACAUGAAAACAAAGGCUAUCAAGAUAAAGUUUAAAGGUUGGAAUGAUAAAAAUGCUGAAUACAAACAAGGACUGCUGAAUGGGAUGCAACAUGGGUCCAUGUCUAGCUAAACCUCUGUGAUAUAAUGCAUGAGCAUCUUUUAUUGGAUCCUGCAACAAACUGAAGAUGUUUUGGUACUUCUGCUGGUGGAAUGCUGCAUUGGUUGCAAAACAAGCGGCUGCUUGUUAGGCCUGUAUUAUAAAAAGCAGCCAUGCAUCCAUUUUGAUGGUGGGGUGUCCGGGAAAGAUUUGCUGGAAAUUUCAUCAAAUUUAAAAUAUUUGGAGCUGAUUGCGGUCACAAGGGAAUGAAACCGCAUAAUAUGUGGCAGUUAUAUGCAUAUAAUUAUAUACAAAUAGCCUAGGCACUUUAUCCCUUUCUCUGGGAUGAUCUGUAUUUGGUUUUGCAUCCUACUAUCAGCAAGUAGGCAAAAGAGGUCUACAUCAAUUUAAGACAAGGUGGUGAAGGACCAACUGAGAUGGUAUGGGGUGAAGGACAACUGAGAUGGUAUGGGCUUGCGGAGUGAAGACAUAGGGACGCUGCAGGAAGGAGAGGUGCUUGGAUUUCUGUUGAAGGGUAUGGUGACAGUUGGUGAAUGAGGAUUCACAAAGGCAAGCCCAAAUAUUUGAUAUUAGGUUCAAUGGUUUGUUAUAAUUUACUGAUACUUUGCGAGGUAGUUGUGCUGCUAAUAGUCAGGGAAAACCAUAUCUUAUUCAUGGAAUGCAUUUUAGGGCAGCUUUGACAGAGACUCGGGAGGUUUAAUCUCAAUGUAGUCCCUAUGCCUUCAAAGAUAAAUGUUAUUUAGUAAACUCUCACUGGCAAUUUCAUGACCGUACAAAGGGGCUUUUUCAUGAAAGGCAUUUGUAGGGUACAUUUUUUGGCAGUGACAAUCUUAUGUACACUCAAGAGCCUUAAUCUCAACAUAAUCUCUAAUAUUUCAAAGUAAAUGUAUUAGCAUACUCUCACUAGCAUGACAUGGCACAGCACUUCUUUAUGAACUUAAGGGCUAUACCAAAGUCAUUUCCUUGCCACUUCCAUCUGAAUCAACUCAUUGCAACUGUUCCUAUUCAAUUAAUUGAUUCUUUUUAUAUGUUGUAUUGUAUGUUCUCCGAAAGCGAGUAGUUGGCUAAACACAUUGGGAAGCCAAAUUUAUCAGUCACUGGAAGCUCCAGGAACAGAGUAGCGCUUGGAUGGAGACCUGCAUCUUUGAGAGUCAUUUCCAACUGUUCAUAGCCAUAAACUUUUCUUGGGAAGUUGGAUAUCAGCCGAUAGCUUCCUAUACCAGAACUGCAAUGCUUUCACCAGAGAUCGGAGCUACAACAGCACAGAAUGGGAAACUUGCUGCUUUCAAUGCGGCAACCAUCUCUGAUCCUUCUCCUCUGUUUGCAACUGCGCCCCAUGAUACAAAGUUUGUGUCCAGAAACUCUACCACCAGCUGUGAACAAAGCGUGUUGCGGCAAAAGGGAGCUGUGUAGGGAUGGUCCGGAUCGUGGAGGUACAAGAAAACAAACUUCGACUCAUCCUUUGCAAUCUUUAGAGCUUCAAGGAACUGACAUGCAUAGAAGAAAGGGUGGGUGCUGCCAUAUUGUCGCUCGAAGAGUGUUAUAAAAAGCCAUUCCUCUGGGAUGAUCAUAAGUUCUGGCUGUUGCUGGGAUUGUGGAUUCUGAGGGGCUCUUCUUGGAGCUCCAUGGCCAAUUGCUCUUGAUAUCCCUUCUAUUAUGCUGAGAGGAAGUCUUACCAUCCUGCGAACAAACUCAGUGCAUGAGGCUCGCAGCUCCUGUCCUGUGCCACCUCUUGUUGAUGUCAUUCUUAAACUAGCAAGAGUGUUUCUUUAAGAGAUAACUCGAAGUGGUUUAAUGGAUGAAUUGAAUUGGAAGCAGCAGCUUUUGGAUUCUGGUGGUGGAUGUAAGGAGCUAUCUUUAUGACCUUUUAUUCUUUUUCUGCCUUUGGAAGCGGAGCCUCUCUGGAGCAUUUCUUAAGGAGAUCAAGCAUUCUUUCUUUGCCAAUAUCCAUAAACUUUUCUUUUCUGGGAAGCUAGUUGGGUUGCUUUAUUCCCUGUCUCCCAGAUGUAAAGAAAAGCACAACUAGUCCUGGACCAACCUGAUAUGUAUGAUGCAAAAAAUGGAUCAGGUACAUGGUACGUUAAAGAAAAAUAUUGGACGAAUACUAUUAUUCGGAUCUUUGUCUUCAGACAAUCGAACUUCUACCAAGUUAAUUUGAUCAUUUUAAUGUAUAUUGAUAUUAUUGAUGCU